This is a long non-coding RNA of Mus musculus (house mouse), 1062 nucleotides long. RefSeq annotates it as predicted gene, 39567. The record is from RefSeq and is a predicted model, not a curated record. The transcript has 3 exons. Lineage: Eukaryota; Metazoa; Chordata; Mammalia; Rodentia; Muridae.
UCAGGCCAGCAGCUGGCCUAGCAGGUUUGUUCCAGGGUCGAGCCCACAAGAAGCGCUCACUGCACUGAGAAGGCAGGGUUUGCCUGGCCUGACAGACACAUAGCCCACCAGAAGCCUAGGCUGCCUGGCUUCAAAACUUACCAAAGUUCAGGCCACCUGAUCUGAGAUCUGUCAGAGAUGCUCCGAGACUGCCAUAGAACCGGAAGAGUCAAGCCAGGAAGCACCACACACCCUUGAAGUUUUCAUCUCAUUUCGAUGCCUGGAAUCAGUCCCGAGGCCCUUCCCAACCGCAAGGCAUGUUGGGAAGUAGAACCUAGAUGUGUGUGAAGAAUACUGAUAUUCAGUCCUAGGGACAAUGUGGACUCCCCUAGAAGGAAAAGGAAAUCCUGGACAGGUCCUGAGCAGAAGGAGCUCCCAGGAGCCAAGCCUCAGGAACCACCUCCCCAUGAACUGAAACAUCUGGGCACUUUGAAGGAGCCGAGGAAAAUUUCUCAGUGCCUAGAGAUGGGGAAGGCUCAGUGUUCAGCUCACAGGCCCUGCUGAGCUGUCCUGUCUUAGGUUCUCUCCAUUAUCCCAGAUAGAAUGAACGCUUUGGGGUACCCUUUGUUAAGUUUCAAACCCCACCAAGAAGCUGUAGUAUCUAUCUAACAUAUCAAAUUGGACUUGAUUUUCCCAGCAUCCCUCAGCCCCUACCCGUUAUAAGGUAUGGCUUGCACACCACACCUCUACCCUGAAUCCUCCUGCCCAGGGGCUAGGCUGCCCUUCCCCCCAAAGCUCUUCCCUCCAUAAUCCAGACAUUUUGGUUAGUCGCCCCUACUGGUACCUUUGGCUUCUUGGCUGUUUCAUUCGGCUCCCUCUCCCCUUCUCCCUUUCCCUUUCCUUCUCCCCACACACCCCAGUCAGUCUAGCCACAUCCACUCUGGGCUCUCCCAGAUGUGCCUGCCUCUGGCUAUGCUCUCACUUUUACCUGCAAUAAACUUCCUCCUCCACCCUACCCAAGAGCAGCCAUGUCCCUUUCUUUCCUUUAUAUUUCUUUUUUUCAAUCACCUUUGAAUCCUUACC